GAUGAACGCUGGCGGCGUGCCUAAUACAUGCAAGUCGAGCGAACGGACGAGAAGCUUGCUUCUCUGAUGUUAGCGGCGGACGGGUGAGUAACAAGUGGAUAACCUACCUAUAAGACUGGGAUAACUUCGGGAAACCGGAGCUAAUACCGGAGAAUAUUUUGAACCGCAUGGUUAAAAACUGCAAGACGGUCUUGCUGACACUUAUAGAUCUACCCGCGCUGCAUUAGCUAGUUGGUAAGGUAACGGCUUACCAAGGCAACGAUGCAUAGCCGACCUGAGAGGGUGAUCGGCCACACUGGAACUGAGACACGGUCCAGACUCCUACGGGAGGCAGCAGUAGGGAAUCUUCCGCAAUGGGCGAAAGCCUGACGGAGCAACGCCGCGUGAGUGAUGAAGGUCUUCGGAUCGUAAAACUCUGUUAUUAGGGAAGAACAUAUGUGUAAGUAACUGUGCACAUCUUGACGGUACCUAAUCAGAAAGCCACGGCUAACUACGUG
This 497-nucleotide ribosomal RNA is filed under the name uncultured bacterium. RNAcentral's name for it is "partial 16S ribosomal RNA". It matches the Rfam family "Bacterial small subunit ribosomal RNA", at positions 28 to 507 of the family's 1533-position model. The record is from RNAcentral.